RNAcentral lists this ribosomal RNA (4356 nucleotides) under Triticum aestivum (bread wheat). RNAcentral describes it as "partial small subunit ribosomal RNA". Lineage: Eukaryota; Viridiplantae; Streptophyta; Magnoliopsida; Poales; Poaceae. The record is from RNAcentral.
AUGACCCAGCACCACGCGAUGCGAGGAGGGCUAGCACGUUCGUUCUUCGCCCCUGCCGCCAGAGCCGCCGCGCCCUGCUGUCCGUCGCCCCUGCUGCUCCGCCGCGCCUUGCCGUCCGUCCCCCCUGCUGCUGCGCGGCGUCCCCCCCUCCCCUCUCCCCUCCUGCCGCCCUCCAUUGCUGGCAAGGAAGAGCUAGACAGAACUGGGGGGCUUCAGAGCAAGGCAAACGAAGAAAGGGGCAUAAGAUCCAAGGCGAGUGAACUGGGGGGGUUAAAAUCAAUUCUCCCGAUGCGGCGAUCACAUACCUGGUAAAAAAAAUUGAUUUUACUCCAGGCUCUAGUUGUAAUUUUGAAGCAACGAGCAAAGUGCAUACUAGCUGCAAGCCUGCAAAGGGGAGGGGGGAUAUUUAGACAGACAAGUCUUACAUGAUUUACAUGUUGGCUAUUCAAGUCAACAAUAGUAUACGGAGCAUACAGCUUUCGCUGCCGACAGGACUUCUCUGCCUUUAGUCAAGUCUUAUUUUUUGCUUUCCAGCUAAAGUCACCAUCAGAGCAGAAAUUGGCUUUUGUGUACACAGAUACAGUAUAUAGCAGGUCCUCUGCCUCUGCUUCUUCAUCAGGGGGGGUGAAUUAGUGCAAAUCUUGCUAGAAUAUACUGAAAGAGAAGAACAAACAAAGGAUCUGAAUCUGUUGCACGCAGACUACGAUGUGAGGGCUGCCUCUGGGAGGCUAAUGGAGGUGGCUGUUGGGAUGUGAGAGCCAGACAGGACCAAACUUCUUUGGCGAAAUGGGCAAUGCAGAAUCAAAUGGUUGCAAUUCGAGCACUUGAUCACAAAGCUUGCAAGCAUCAUCAUGGUCCAUCCCAAUUCCCAAGGCUGUUAGUGAGAAUCUUUUUUGUAACUUUUUUGAGAAUCCCCAAGGCUGUUAGUCAAUCAGCUGUACAUGCACCAUAUGGAGAACUGUCACUUCCCUUCCACCUUGGCUCUCCACUCAAUAAAUUCUGCUUCUGUGGAAUUGUAGCGAGCAAUUGGAAAUCAUAAGCAGUCUUUGCUGAAUACUGCCCAUCAGUGGUAAGCUUCCUGGAAACUGAGCGUGCUUGUUGACCAAGAACGACACUCUGGGUCAAGUUUCAAAGUCCAAGGCAGUGCAUAAGUUGAGCUGUAAUGAAUAAAAUAGGCAGACAAUUGAUCAAGGAAAAAAAACCCACUGUCAAUCCUCUAUUAAUUUUCAACACGAACGACUAGUUUGCAUUCUGUUGACUGACCCAUCAUUCAGCACUACAAUGGCGUUGGGUGUGUACCUUUCAAUCAGCCUAUCUAGUGUAAAAGAAGGACCCUUACUAAUUUGAGGUGGAGUCUUGUUGCUCGCCAACCUAAAACCUCUAUAUCCAAGCACCACCACGAGUUACUCAGAAAGUUCAAACUCCCAUGCUCCUUCCAGCUCUGGGUGGCUGGGUAUUCUUCCAAGCUCCCAUCCAUGGCUCCUCUCGUCUUCCUACUCCUAUUCGGCCAAAUCCUACUCUGCACAGCCGUCGACACCAUCACCUCCACCACACCGUUGUCCGGGUCACAGCAGAUUGUGUCCCAGGGCGGCAAAUUCACCUUGGGCUUCUACUCCCCACCGCAAGGUAACACCACCUCUAGCAAUUACUACAUAGCCAUAUGGUACAGCAACAUACCACUGCCAACCACCGUGUGGACGGCAACCACCAACGUGCCGGUGUCUGACCCGACCACCGCCUCCUUGGAAAUCACCAGCGACGGCAACCUUGUCCUCCUUGAUCAAGCCAAGAACCGACUGCUAUGGUCGACCAAUGUAAGUAUAGCAUCCAACUCCACCGUGGCCACCAUCAGGGACAGUGGUAGCCUCGAGCUCAUUGAUGCCUCCAAUUCAUCGAUAGUUUACUGGCAAAGCAUAGACCAUCCAACAAACACCUUGCUUCCAGGGGUAAAGCUCGGGCUGAACAAAAUCACUGGUGUUAGCCAGAGGCUUGUUGCUUGGAAGAGUGAGGCAGAUCCAUCUCCUGGGUUGUUCUCGCUGGAGCAUGACCCAAACGGCACACCACUUUAUUUCGCGCAGUGGAAUGAUUCCAUAAGCUACUGGGCUAGUACCCCUUGGGACUUCGAUCUCCCGGGGAUGGUGGCCUUGCGAUUCGUCAACAGCUCCACAGAAAGUUACCUCUUGUACUCGACGAAAGACGACUCGGUCAUCACACACAUCAUCAUCGACAUUAGCGGGCAGCUCAGGUUGUUGACAUGGCUGGAUUCCUCACAGCAGUGGAUAUUGAUCUGGACCCAGCCACAUACGGAGUGUGAGGUGUAUGCGCGCUGUGGGGCAUACGGCAGCUGCAACCUCAAUGCCCUGCCGUUCUGCAACUGUGUCAAGGGGUUCAGUCAGAAUGACUGGGACCUUGACGAUUACAGUGGUGGGUGCAAGAGGAACACACCAUUGCAGUGCCAGACCCACUCGACUUCUGCACAUUCUCGGUCUGAUAAGUUCUAUGCCAUGGAAGAUGUGAGGGUACCUGCUAAUGCUCGGGGUGCAGUGGCAACAAGCUCUCAGGAAUGUCAGGUGGCUUGUCUGAAAAAUUGCUCCUGCUCUGCUUACACUUACAAUUACACUGGGUGCUUUGUUUGGCAUGGGGACCUGCAGGUUAACCUCGGAGAAGGAUACAGCAAAUUUUUUGGAGAUGGCACAUUCUUCCUCAGGCUUGCAGCAUCCGAGCUACCAGAUCAGCAAAGGAAGAAAACAACGAUCAUUGGCUCAGUUAUUGGUGGAGUUGCUGCAUUUUUUAUAAUCCUUGCAAUUGUGUUGUUCUUUCUAUCUCGGACGUGCCGCCGAGACAGGACUUUUUGGAUAUCCAAGACUGCUGGGGCCGCACUGACUGACUUCAGAUACAGUGAUCUGCUGGAUGAUAUUCAAAGCAUUGAUUCACUUCUUCUCGAUCUGUUAACUCUAAGAGUGGCUACAAAUGACUUUGGCGAAGGAACUAUGCUUGGUAAAGGAGGUUUUGGAAUGGUUCAUAAGGGAGUCCUACCUGACGGUAAACAAAUAGCAGUAAAAAGGCUAUCUCACAGUUCCAGACAAGGAAUAGGUGAACUGAAAAGUGAACUAGUCCUUGUUGCUAAGCUUCGCCACAGGAAUCUUGUGAGCCUAAUUGGCGUUUGUUUGGAAGAACAAGAGAAAAUACUUGUGUAUGAAUUUAUGCCCAACAGAAGCCUUGAUACCAUUCUUUUUGAUGUUGAGAAACGCAAAGACCUAGAUUGGGGAAGGAGGUUCAAGAUUAUCAGUGGAGUUGCUAGGGGAUUACAAUAUCUCCACGAAGAUUCUCAAUUGAAGAUAGUUCACCGGGACCUGAAAGCAAGCAACAUUCUGUUGGACUUUGAUUACAACCCUAAGAUUUCUGAUUUUGGCUUGGCAAAGAUAUUUGGAGGGGAUCAAUCAGAAGAUGUCACUAGACGUAUUGCCGGGACAUAUGGAUACAUGUCGCCUGAAUAUGCCAUGCAUGGUCAAUACUCAGCAAAAUCGGAUGCGUUCAGCUUCGGCGUUUUGGUUUUGGAGAUCGUCACGGGAAGAAGAAACAACGGCUCCUGCAACUCCGAGCAAUAUGUUUAUCUCGUAAAUCUUGUAUGGGAACACUGGACCAGGGGAAAUGUCGUCGAGUUGAUCGAUCCAUCCCUUAGCGGCCAUCCUUCUCACGUUGACCAGGUGCUGAAAUGCAUCCGAACCGGGCUGCUGUGUGUGCAGAACAGACCUGAAGAUAGGCCGGCAAUGUCGUCGGUAAAUGCCAUGCUUACCAGCCAGAGUGUCCGUCUCCCUUCUGUUUCCAUGCCAGCCUUCUGUGACAGAUUGAGUGGAUGCAGUGAUAAUUCAGAAUCGGAGUCUUCGAAUGGAAUGACCAUCACAAAGCUUGAGCCAAGAUGAGCCUUGAAGCAGUUGCUGAACCAGUUUGUACUAGUGUUACUUUACUAUCCCGUCCAUCCCAUAAUAUAAGAGCGUUUCUGACACUACACUAGUGUUGAAAAUGCUCUUAUAUUAUGGGACGGAGGGAGUAUCUCCUAGAGAUGAGCUUGAUGUACCUGGUGCUUAUGUUUCAUGGUUAUGAUGAAAAGUCUUAUGUGCCUCCAAGGUUAUCUUCAGUAUCAGUUUUGCUGUGAAGUGAGAUUAUGGUAUUUCUGCUGGAGAAAAUGUCAGUGGCAUUAUUAGCUGCGAUAUUUGGCUCAUACAAAUACAUGUAUCAAUAGUUAAUUUAGCAGCCUCUCCAUUUUGGCUAUCUUCUAAGAUUAGCUUUGGUUCUGUAAAAUUUCACUUGCAAUAUAGACAAGGUUUUCAUAUGGAUCUUGGUGGUUUUCUAUGG